This 499-nucleotide unclassified non-coding RNA is filed under the name Hevea brasiliensis (rubber tree). Lineage: Eukaryota; Viridiplantae; Streptophyta; Magnoliopsida; Malpighiales; Euphorbiaceae. The record is from RNAcentral.
AUCAUUGCUAUCUAGGGCUAGUGUUGCUGGAGCAUAUGUUUACUCCAACAUUCUUUCCAUUUGUAGAGAGAUGAUAGAAUCUGGGUUGAUCGUAGAUAUGGGGACAGCAGUUCACUGGUCCAAGUCUUUACGCAAGAUUGAGAGAACCGGUGGAGAGCUUACAGAAGCCUUACAGAAAAGCUUCCCUCCCGAUUGGAAUACACGCCACUGUGUUGAUGCCGAUCCUGAGCCAUAUAGCGAUGAUGACGUCGACAUUGAUGAUGAGAAUAAUUUGUAUUUCGAGAAAACUGAUGAUGGUGAUGAAGACAGCAAUGAUGAACAUGAUUACUUUAACCAAAGACUGUUGGUUUAAUGUAGGUUGGGUUUAUUAUGUGCUCCUGCUUGGCUUUGGAGCUGUUAUUCAAAUUGAGUUUAACGAACUUCUGAUUUUCCCAAUGAUACCCACCAUUUAUGAAAAAUGUUAGCUGUUAACAUUUGUAAUAUUCAAUGUGAAAUUUUG